Molecule: transfer RNA, 71 nt
Filed under: Bacteroidales bacterium KHT7
Lineage: Bacteria; Pseudomonadati; Bacteroidota; Bacteroidia; Bacteroidales
Rfam family: tRNA
About the family: Transfer RNA (tRNA) molecules are approximately 80 nucleotides in length.
Source: Rfam by way of RNAcentral
UGUGCUAUGGUGUAAUGGCAGCACUAGAGUUUUUGGUUCUCUCAGUCCAAGUUCGAAUCUUGGUAGCACAA